This 361-nucleotide ribosomal RNA is filed under the name uncultured bacterium. RNAcentral's name for it is "bacterial SSU rRNA". It matches the Rfam family "Bacterial small subunit ribosomal RNA", at positions 28 to 402 of the family's 1533-position model. The record is from RNAcentral.
GACAAACGCUGGCGGCGUGCAUAAAACAUGCAAGUCGGACGGUUGGCUUCGGUCGGCCGUGGCAGACGGCUGAGUAACGCGUAGGAACCUGCCCUGGUGUGGGGGACAAGCCAUCGAAAGGUGGUCUAAUACCGCAUACGGUCCUGAUUUUCGGAUUGGGAAGAAAGCCGCAAGGCGCACGAGGAGGGGCCUGCGUCCGAUUAGCUAGUUGGUGGGGUAAGAGCCUACCAAGGCCGUGAUCGGAGCUGGUCUGAGAGGAUGAUCAGCCAGACUGGGACUGGGAGACGGCCCAGACUCCUACGGGAGGCAGCAGUUAGGAAUUUUGGGCAAUGGCCGCAAGGCUGACCCAGCAACGCCGCGU